UACCUUACCAACUAGCUAAUACGGCGCAGGUCCAUCUAUAAGUGAUAGCAAAGCCAUCUUUCACUAUCGAACCAUGCGGUUCGAAAUAUUAUCCGGUAUUAGCUCCGGUUUCCCGAAGUUAUCCCAGUCUUAUAGGUAGGUUACCUACGUGUUACUCACCCGUCCGCCGCUAACAUCAAAGGAGCAAGCUCCUCGUCUGUUCGCUCGACUUGCAUGUAUUAGGCACGCCGCCAGCGUUCAUCCUGAGCCAGGAUCAAACUCU
Molecule: ribosomal RNA, 262 nt
Filed under: Staphylococcus hominis
Lineage: Bacteria; Bacillati; Bacillota; Bacilli; Caryophanales; Staphylococcaceae
Description: partial 16S ribosomal RNA
Source: RNAcentral